GUGCUCACUUCAGGGGCAUAUAUACUAAAAUUGGAACAAUACAGAGAAGAUUAGCAUAGCCCCAUGCGCAAGGAUGACAUGCAAAUUCAUGAAGUACCAUAUUUUA
This is a small nuclear RNA of Kogia breviceps (pygmy sperm whale), 106 nucleotides long. NCBI's taxonomy places the organism in Eukaryota, Metazoa, Chordata, Mammalia, Artiodactyla, Physeteridae. The record is from RefSeq and is a predicted model, not a curated record.